CCUACGGGACGCAGCAGUAGGGAAUCUUCCACAAUGGACGAAAGUCUGAUGGAGCAACGCCGCGUGAGUGAAGAAGGGUUUCGGCUCGUAAAGCUCUGUUGGUAGUGAAGAAAGAUAGAGGUAGUAACUGGCCUUUAUUUGACGGUAAUUACUUAGAAAGUCACGGCUAACUACGUGCCAGCAGCCGCGGUAAUACGUAGGUGGCAAGCGUUGUCCGGAUUUAUUGGGCGUAAAGCGAGUGCAGGCGGUUCAAUAAGUCUGCUUUGAAAGCCUUUGGCUCCACCCGAGAAUUGCAUCAGAAAAUU
This 305-nucleotide ribosomal RNA is filed under the name uncultured bacterium. RNAcentral describes it as "bacterial SSU rRNA". It matches the Rfam family "Bacterial small subunit ribosomal RNA", at positions 338 to 635 of the family's 1533-position model. The record is from RNAcentral.